UUGGCACCAGAAAGUUUGAUCGACAGAACACACAGCACUAAAUCUGAUGUCUGGGCCUACGGCAUUCUUCUGUGGGAGAUUGUUACGCUAGGUGCCAGUCCUUACCCCGGGUUGUCUGCCCAUGACGUCUUCAAGUUUGUUAGCGCUGGCAAGAAAAUGGAGAAACCUCAGCACUGCAGUUCUGACAUAUACGAGCUCAUGUGCAGCUGCUGGUCCUUCCUCCCAGAGAACCGUCCAACGUUUGAUGCCCUGUGUCGCAGGUUCGAGACUCUGCUGGAAAAGGAAAAAGAUUACAUCAAUCUGGAACUAUUCCAGAGCGAACAGUACGCUUGUCUGGAUGCGGACAUAAUGGAUGAGAAGUUAUAGGACAUAAAGCUGGUUGUAUGAGAAGAUAUAUGACAUAAAUGAAAAGAUAUAUGGCAUAAAGCUGGUUGGAUGAGAAGAAAUAGGAUAUAAAUUUGGUUGGAUGAGAAAAAAUAGGACAUAAAGCUGGUUGAUUGAGAAGAUAUAGGACAUAAAGCUGGUUGAUUGAGAAGUUAUAGGACAUAAACCUGGCUGAUUGAGAAGAUAUAGGACAUAAAGUUGGUUGGAUGAGAAGAAAUAGGAUAUAAAUUUGGUUGGAUGAGAAAAAAUAGGACAUAAAGCUGGUUGAUUGAGAAGAUAUAGGACAUAAAGCUGGUUGAUUGAGAAGUUGUAGGACAUAAAGCUGGCUGAUUGAGAAGAUAUAGGACAUAAAGUUGGUUGGAUGAGAAGAAAUAGGAUAUAAUGCUGGCUGAGUGCAGACAUAAUAGAUAAGUUAUAGUAGAAUGACUGGGUUAUAUUAACUGACAGUAGUGACAGUUAAGAGAUCGCGGAUGUUACAUAACUUACUUGGAUUUUGCAGAAAACUUUUUUUAAAAACCCGAGAAAGUCGAUUUAAAAACAAAUCAAAUCAUUCUUCGCAGUGAUCUCGUGCAAAAUGUUUUUGUUAACACAAGUAUUAGACAUGCUGACAAGUAUAGGGCUGGUAAGUAGGUCAAUAAAUAGUUAUAUGGCUCAUGCAGGUUUUAUUGAGCUGUAGAACUGGUUGGUGACCUAUUUACCAGCCCUAUAGUAGCGAUCGUCCAGACGUGUACAUGUUUCAUAACAUACCUACAAGACAUUUGAAACCUACCCCAUUCUCCACAGGACGUUACAGAACAAAUAUGUUCAUAACCCCCCCCCCCC
Molecule: long non-coding RNA, 1206 nt
Organism: Physella acuta
Lineage: Eukaryota; Metazoa; Mollusca; Gastropoda; Physidae
Source: RefSeq, a predicted model, not a curated record